AUUGAACGCUGGCGGCAGGCCUAACACAUGCAAGUCGAGCGGAUGAAGGGAGCUUGCUCCUGGAUUCAGCGGCGGACGGGUGAGUAAUGCCUAGGAAUCUGCCUGGUAGUGGGGGAUAACGUCCGGAAACGGGCGCUAAUACCGCAUACGACCUGAGGGAGAAAGUGGGGGAUCUUCGGACCUCACGCUAUCAGAUGAGCCUAGGUCGGAUUAGCUAGUUGGUGGGGUAAAGGCCUACCAAGGCGACGAUCCGUAACUGGUCUGAGAGGAUGAUCAGUCACACUGGAACUGAGACACGGUCCAGACUCCUACGGGAGGCAGCAGUGGGGAAUAUUGGACAAUGGGCGAAAGCCUGAUCCAGCCAUGCCGCGUGAGUGAAGAAGGUCUUCGGAUUGUAAAGCACUUUAAGUUGGGAGGAAGGGCAGUAAGUUAAUACCUUGCUGUUUUGACGUUACCAACAGAAUAAGCACCGGCUAACUUCGUG
RNAcentral lists this ribosomal RNA (484 nucleotides) under uncultured bacterium. RNAcentral's name for it is "partial 16S ribosomal RNA". It matches the Rfam family "Bacterial small subunit ribosomal RNA", at positions 30 to 507 of the family's 1533-position model. The record is from RNAcentral.